GUCAAGCCAUAACUGGAGUCUUUCUGCUUUCCUGGUCCUUGCUGUAAAUGUGCUUAGAAUCCAGUAGGGACCCCUGGCCUGGAUACUGUGGACACCCCUUAAGGAGAGGGGUCCCGCUGCUGCAGACGCAAGCCCAUAUAGAAGCGUUCACCGAGCAAAGCCUCCACAGAAGCAGGAAGAGGAAACGAAGCUGGCCAGCAAAUCUGGAAAAACAUCAAAACCAAAACACAAGAGCCGACACAGGGUGACAGGACUCCUGCCAAAUCACUGACGUGGACACUAGUCAUGCGAGUGGAACAUUCUGUUACUACUUCUCAGGGAGACUGGUGUCCUGGACAGAAGGAAAGCAGACAGCCAGCUUUUAGUUUGUGAUGCUGGGGACUAAACGCAUGUUGGGCAGGCGGUGCUACCCCUAAGUUAAAUCCUCAGCCCUCAGCUAACUUUUCCUUUAGGGAACCUGUGUUGCUUCAAUAACAACAAGCAUGCAUUUUUUUUCUUUACAUGUUAUUAGUAUUUUUGUUGUUGUUGGUGAUGG
Molecule: long non-coding RNA, 535 nt
Organism: Perognathus longimembris pacificus (Pacific pocket mouse)
Lineage: Eukaryota; Metazoa; Chordata; Mammalia; Rodentia; Heteromyidae
Exons: 3
Source: RefSeq, a predicted model, not a curated record